This 56-nucleotide ribosomal RNA is filed under the name Pseudidiomarina aestuarii. RNAcentral describes it as "Idiomarina aestuarii partial 23S ribosomal RNA". Lineage: Bacteria; Pseudomonadati; Pseudomonadota; Gammaproteobacteria; Alteromonadales; Idiomarinaceae. The record is from RNAcentral.
UAUGGACCGUACCCGAAACCGACACAGGUGGGCAGGUUGAAUAUACCAAGGCGCUC